CUGGGGAUGCAUUGCUUGUUUCUACAUCUCACUGUUCAACAGAAUCAUGUAGUCUGCCACUGACUACACAGAACAUUGGAUCCACUAGUGACAAGAUGCAACUGAACAGGCGUAUCACAUUUCCAUGGCUUGACACAAGGUGUUUGAAAAUGGUGUACAAAACUCCUUACAGAACUGGAAACAGAGAUGAAGGACCUAAUAGGAGAGGAUCUAGGAGUAUCUGUGGAUUAUGUGUUACCCAAGGAACAGGAACCAGAGAGAGAGAGAGGGUGCAUAUCGGUGGAUUGUGAACAAAAAACAACUAUUAUCACUAAAGUUCAUGUGUGGUCAUUGACUGCUUGAUUCUAUUACUGGCAAGGAAAUCAAAUAAAAGCCCUCCCAUUACAUUUGAAUUAUGUUGUACAUUUAGG
Molecule: long non-coding RNA, 410 nt
Organism: Oncorhynchus tshawytscha (Chinook salmon)
Lineage: Eukaryota; Metazoa; Chordata; Actinopteri; Salmoniformes; Salmonidae
Source: Ensembl